GGGGGGGGUAGUUUUUUGAGACAGGAUCUCACAGUAGUCCAGGCUAGCCUAGAACUAGCUCUCUUGCUCCUCCUGCCUCAGACUCCUGAGUGCUGGGAUUACAGGUGUGUGCUAACACUCCCAGUUUCCCCCUCCUUAAAUGUUUUUCUUUUCUUUUUUUUUUUUUUUGAUAGUUCAAGCUGGUCUUGAACUCACUGUGUAUACUAGACUGGCCUUGAACUCAGUGAUCCUCCUGCCUCCGUCUUCCAAGUGCUGGGAUUACAGGCGAGCACCACCAUGCCUGGCAGCUUUAAAUUUCUUUUGAGACAGUGCAUUGCUAAAUUGCCCUGACUGGGCUCCAGUUUAUGAUCCUCCUACCUCAGCCUUCCACAGUGCAGGGAUACAAGUGUGGCACCAUGUAGCUAAAUCGCCAGCCCUGGAGUUUUCAGUGACACAAAGCCUGCUGCUGUGAGUGCCAUAGGUUCACCACCACUGGCCUAGUGAAUGCUAGGUAAGUGUUCUGCCAUUGGGCUAUCCGCCAUCCUACCCUUUAGUUUGUGUUUUGAGAGUUUCACUGGUGGCCCAGGCAGGCGAUCCUCCUGCCUCCGGAGUGCUGUGGGAUUACAGGCCUGUGCCCCGUGCCCCUGUGCCCCUGGGCCCAGCUCCCCAUCCUCUCUUCAGAAGUUCAGAAUGAGUUUAAAAACUAUUUUGUCAACUUUUUAUUUUCUCUAGCAUAUACUUAUGAAAACUUGACAACUUUUCCAAACUCUUUGAAACCUGUCUUUCUUUUUCUUUUUUUUUUUGGUACCGGGGAUUGAACGAGGGUCCUUGUGCCUGCUGGCAGCGAAACCACUGAGCUAAAUCCCUGGCUCACCUUUCUUCUAUCAGUGAUAUUUCCUUCCCUGGGAAGCAUCCCUGGGAUCCUGACAUCUUAGGAGGCUUCCUCACAUUCCUGGUUGAGUUAGGUCUGUGACUCAUCCUUUCUAUCACACUGCGUUGCACUUUACGGGUUUCUUGUCUGUCUCUUUCCUUCAUGUCUAUCAGCUCUUUAAGGACCAGAACUUUUUUUCUCUUUUAAAUCUCCAUUUCCUGGUCCAUGAGAGUACCUAACACUACUUGGGUUUAAAGUAAAGUAAACAUUUGUUGAUAGUAAAUGGUACAAGUUAUAGUAACCCAAAAGCUAACCUGGCCUUCUUAGGCCUAUUAAAAACAAACAAAAACAAAGACAACCCCUUUGUACAGUUAUUUUCACAUCACCCAUAUCCUUAGGAACUUCAUACUUCAUAGACUACUAGAAACAGGUUCUCCUGCCGGAAAUAAAAUUGUGUUUUCUGUCCAAUAAUGUCAUAGCUGAGUGAGCUAGGAAGAUCCAGGUCUAUUUCCAUUAUGGUGUGUCCACAUGCAUUAGGGGCUGGCUGGAAGUGGUAGGUGAGUGCUGCAAGGGAGUGGUAUGGAAAUUAU
Molecule: long non-coding RNA, 1440 nt
Filed under: Heterocephalus glaber (naked mole-rat)
Lineage: Eukaryota; Metazoa; Chordata; Mammalia; Rodentia; Bathyergidae
Description: lncRNA (ENSHGLG00000048381.1)
Source: RNAcentral